GAAAGUAAACAAGGGCGCAUGGAGGAUGCCUAGGCUCUCGGAGGCGAAGAAGGACGUGAUAAGCUGCGAAAAGUUACGGUAAGGCGCAAAUAGCCGUAGACCCGUAAAUAUCCGAAUGGGGCAACCCGGCCAGCAAUGGCCAUACCGCCAAGCGGUAAGCCAACGCGGGGAACUGAAACAUCUAAGUACCCGCAGGAAAAGAAAAUAACAAUGAUUCCGCCAGUAGUGGCGAGCGAACGCGGAACAGCCCAAACCACCCGUGUUACGGCACGGGUGGGGUAGAAGGAUCCACGACACGGCAAGAAAUAAGUUAGCGGAAUACGAUGGAAAUCGUAGCCAGAGACGGUGACAGCCCGGUACGCGAAAACCGACAGAAGCCCAGUGGACACCUGAGUAACCCAGGACACGAGAAAUCCGGGGCGAAUCAGCGGGGCCCAUCCCGUAAGGCUAAAUACUCCCGAGAGACCGAUAGCGAACCAGUACUGUGAAGGAAAGGUGAAAAGAACCUCGAACAGAGGAGUGAAACAGACCCUGAAACCAUGCGCCUACAAGCGGUCGGAGCAUGUUAAAGUGUGACGGCGUGCCUUUUGCAUAAUGAACCUACGAGUUACUCUCGCUGGCAAGGUUAAGCGAUUCAGUCGCGCAGCCGAAGCGAAAGCAAGUCCGAACAAGGCGUACAGUCAGCGGGAGUAGACGCGAAACCAAGUGAUCUACCCUUGGUCAGGUUGAAGGUUGGGUAACACCAACUGGAGGACCGCACCGAUAAGCGUUGAAAAGCUUACGGAUGAACUGAGGGUAGGAGUGAAAGGCCAAUCAAACUUGGAGAUAGCUCGUACUCCCCGAAAUGCAUUUAGGUGCAGCCUCGAAGUAAAGUGAUAGAGGUAGAGCGACUGAUAAGAUGCGAGGGCUUCACCGCCUAUCAAGUCUUGACAAACUCCGAAUACUAUCACUUGAUCUUCGGGAGUGAGGGCAUGGGUGCUAAGGUCCAUGUCCGAAAGAGGAACAACUCAGACCACCAGCUAAGGUCCCGAAAUAAGGGCUAAGUUGAAUAAACGAAGUAAAACUGCAAAGACAGCUAGGAUGUUGGCUUGGAAGCAGCCAUUCAUUUAAAGAGUGCGUAACAGCUCACUAGUCGAGGAGUUUUGCAUGGAUAAUAAUCGGGCAUAAGCCCUUUACCGAAGCUGUGGAUGUCGUAAGACAUGGUAGGGGAGCAUUCCGGCGGCGACGAAGGCCGUCCUCGAGGACGACUGGAGCUUUCGGAAAAGCAAAUGUAGGUAUAAGUAACGAUAAAGGGGGCGUGAAACCCCCUCGCCAUAAGACUAAGGAUUCCUGAUCAACGCUAAUCGGAUCAGGGUAAGUCGGGCCCUAAGGCGCAGCCGAACGGCGUAGCCGAUGGAAGAAACGGUAAAGAUUCCGUUACUGGAUAUAGGAGCGAUGUGGAGACGGAGAAGUGACACACCCGCCUGCCGACGGAAGCGCAGGUUAAAGGAAGUAGGUAAACGCCGGGUAGGCAAAUCCGCCUGGCGUGCCGAAGCUGACAGUAUCGAGAGCCCCCGGGCAAUCGAAUAGCGGUGGUAAUCAGGCUCCCAAGAAAAUCCGCUAAGCAUAUUCUAUAUCCACCCGUACCCCAAACGGACACACGUAGUCGGGUAGAAUAUACCAAGGCGCUCGAAAGACUCACGGUUAAGGAACUAGGCAAAUUGACCCUGUAACCUCGGGAAAAAGGGUCCCCAGUAAGAUGGGGCGCAGAGAAUAGGUCCAGGCAACUGUUUAACAAAAACACAGGGCUGUGCAAAAUUUCAAGAUGAAGUAUACAGCCUGACACCUGCCCGGUGCCGGAAGGUUAAGAGGAGAGCUAAUCGCAAGAGAAGGCUUGAAUUGAAGCCCCGGUAAACGGCGGCCGUAACUAUAACGGUCCUAAGGUAGCGAAAUUCCUUGUCGGGUAAGUUC
Molecule: ribosomal RNA, 1950 nt
Filed under: human gut metagenome
Description: bacterial LSU rRNA
Rfam family: Bacterial large subunit ribosomal RNA
Source: RNAcentral